UGUUUGUGUGGGGUGUGGUGGGGGAGAAAAUAACACGAACCCAGUCAUCUCCUCAGCAAAAUUCCCAAUUCCGUUUCAUAUUUAUGCAAACCUAAAAAUGGAAUUCAAAGAAGAUGAAAUUCUCCGAAAACGGGGCAAAUCUACAGAAAUUCAGUCCAUUUGUAGUGAAGCUUCAGUCUUUUCGAUGCCUAAUCUUCCUGAAGAACUCAUCACAGAGAUCAUGUUAAGGCUUCCAGUGAAAUCCCUUUUACAAUUCCG
Molecule: unclassified non-coding RNA, 258 nt
Filed under: Hevea brasiliensis (rubber tree)
Lineage: Eukaryota; Viridiplantae; Streptophyta; Magnoliopsida; Malpighiales; Euphorbiaceae
Source: RNAcentral